AGCCCACAGCAACUCUGCAGGGAAGAAUGUGGGGAAAUAAAUGCCUUCAUCUCUCUCUUGUCCCACCCGCAGAGCUCCUUCUGGGAUUCUCUAUUGGCUGAAUUCAGCCAGAAGCUGCCUAGGGAGACCCCCACAACUGGAUGCAGCCCACUGAAGUCAGCUUCCUGGGGUGCAUAGCCGAAGGUAGCAGGGUGCAAAAAGGAUCUGAAGGGACAAGUGAACAAUGUAGAGCAUAUCUGUGCUGAAGACGUAAGGAGAGAGUGGAGGUCAGAAGCUGGCAGGGUCCCUGGUGCACGUGUCAGCUGCUAAAGAAGUGGAGAGUAUGAACAUAAGCAAGAGGAAGUGAUGAGUAUCCCCUCCAGGAGAACUUUAAGAGCCAGUGAGUGAUUUGCUGGGCUCCCAAGCCCUCUGCUCUGAUGACAGCAAAGCCCCAAAUCAUGACGCCUCUAUCAAUCUGGACCCCUCAGCAGAGCCAGCUUCACAGGAACAAGCUGGAAAACCUCAUUGAGCCUGGGCUUCAGUAUUGAUACCGUUAUAGAAAUCGUGAGUCUCCACUGUGUUUUCUUUGAAAGAUACUGCAAGCUGGUUUAUGAACAACUAAAGAUUGUGGAAUCUCACUACAAGUGGUUUGGCAAGGAUGGUACUAUGUCAUCUCCAGGAUUUUCUUAAUACUGAGUGAGAAUCUGUUAUGACUGGAGACAUCUUGUUACCAGCAGAAGAGAUCCAGGUUACCCCAAGCUACUGUCGUGUAUCCAUGUGAAUCUGCAGCAACUUCAGCCCUUACCUCCUCGGAAAGAAGAAUUUGAUUGAGGAGCAUAAAGCAGAAAAAUAAACUGGGGCAAGUUCCAGAGCAGGAGUGGAAGGUUAUUAAAAAGGCUUUAGAACAGAAGCAAGACUGACCUCCUUGGACCAGACUUUCUGGACAAUUUGCUGGCAGAGGAAGAGACCACAAGAGGAAAAAGGUGGACUUCCUGGAGAGACCAUGUGAACACACAGCAAGAACGUGGUGCUCUGCAAGUCAGAAACAGACCCUUCAUCAGACACCAAAUCAGCCAGCACCCUGAUCUAGGAUUUCCGGCCUCCAAAAUGAAGGACACUGGGAGCCAUGGACAGCUCUAAACAUGAAGUGGCAUCCUCUCCUAGAGCUGAAUCCCCCCACGCUCUCCAUCCUGUCUGCAGACACUUCUGAGCACCAGGACAUCCACUCAGUUCCCACUGACCCAGGUAACUAGGUCCCAGGAGAUUCUGUGUCUAUACUUACCUCCCCAACAGAGCAAGUCUAGCCCUAGCAGGUGUGCAAGCCAGCAAUCUGGCAAUUAGAGCCACUGAUUGGAAAAUGGGCUGCUUACCUGCGACAAAGGAGGGCUUCUCUUUUCUGAGGCCUUAGACAAAGCAGGCUUCCAGGGCUGCUAAUUACCUGAUAGGUAGCAAAGCUAUCACCUACUGGGCCUUUUAGCUCAGUUAAUAAAGCAAUUUUUCCAGUC
Macaca mulatta (Rhesus monkey) is the source of this 1484-nucleotide non-coding RNA. Lineage: Eukaryota; Metazoa; Chordata; Mammalia; Primates; Cercopithecidae. The record is from RefSeq and is a predicted model, not a curated record.